GUAGGUGUGGUGAAGUGGUUAACACGUGCGACUGUGAAUCGCAUAUUCGCGGGUUCAAAUCCCGUCAUCUACCCCA
This 76-nucleotide transfer RNA is filed under the name compost metagenome. RNAcentral describes it as "tRNA-His". It matches the Rfam family "tRNA". Rfam says of the family: Transfer RNA (tRNA) molecules are approximately 80 nucleotides in length. Their secondary structure includes four short double-helical elements and three loops (D, anti-codon, and T loops). Further hydrogen bonds mediate the characteristic L-shaped molecular structure. tRNAs have two regions of fundamental functional importance: the anti-codon, which is responsible for specific mRNA codon recognition, and the 3' end, to which the tRNAs corresponding amino acid is attached (by aminoacyl-tRNA synthetases). tRNAs cope with the degeneracy of the genetic code in two manners: having more than one tRNA (with a specific anti-codon) for a particular amino acid; and 'wobble' base-pairing, i.e. permitting non-standard base-pairing at the 3rd anti-codon position. The record is from RNAcentral.